GUUCUCUCUUCUGUAGCACAUGUGCUAAAUUUGGAAAAAUAUGGAGAAGAUUAGAAGAGGAAGGAUGACAUGUCAAUUCACAAAGGAUAUCAUAUAUUU
Bison bison bison is the source of this 99-nucleotide small nuclear RNA. The record is from Ensembl. NCBI's taxonomy places the organism in Eukaryota, Metazoa, Chordata, Mammalia, Artiodactyla, Bovidae.